UGGGGAAUUUUGGACAAUGGGGGAAACCCUGAUCCAGCCAUCCCGCGUGUGCGAUGAAGGCCUUCGGGUUGUAAGGCACUUUUGGCAGGAAAGAAACGUCGCGGGUUAAUACCCCGCGAAACUGACGGUACCUGCAGAAUAAGCACCGGCUAACUACGUGCCAGCAGCCGCGGUAAUACGUAGGGUGCAAGCGUUAAUCGGAAUUACUGGGCGUAAAGCGUGCGCAGGCGGUUCGGAAAGAAAGAUGUGAAAUCCCAGAGCUUAACUUUGGAACUGCAUUUUUAACUACCGGGCUAGAGUGUGUCAGAGGGAGGUGGAAUUCCGCGUGUAGCAGUGAAAUGCGUAGAUAUGCGGAGGAACACCGAUGGCGAAGGCAGCCUCCUGGGAUAACACUGACGCUCAUGCACGAAAGCGUGGGGAGCAAACAGGAUUAGAUACCCUGGUAGUCCACGCCCUAAACGAUGUCAACUAGCUGUUGGGGCCUUCGGGCCUUGGUAGCGCAGCUAACGCGUGAAGUUGACCGCCUGGGGAGUACGGUCGCAAGAUUAAAACUCAAAUGAA
This 561-nucleotide ribosomal RNA is filed under the name uncultured bacterium. Its description in RNAcentral is "partial 16S ribosomal RNA". It matches the Rfam family "Bacterial small subunit ribosomal RNA", at positions 355 to 909 of the family's 1533-position model. The record is from RNAcentral.